UACGUAGGGUGCGAGCGUUGUCCGGAAUUAUUGGGCGUAAAGAGCUUGUAGGCGGUUUGUCGCGUCUGCUGUGAAAUCUCAAGGCUCAACCUUGAGCUUGCAGUGGGUACGGGCAGACUAGAGUGUGGUAGGGGAGACUGGAAGUUCCUGGUGUAGCGGUGAAAUGCGCAGAUAUCAGGAGGAACACCGAUGGCGAAGGCAGGUCUCUGGGCCACUACUGACGCUGAGAAGCGAAAGCAUGGGGAGCGAACAGG
Molecule: ribosomal RNA, 254 nt
Filed under: uncultured bacterium
Lineage: Bacteria
Description: partial 16S ribosomal RNA
Rfam family: Bacterial small subunit ribosomal RNA
Source: RNAcentral